Camelina sativa (false flax) is the source of this 190-nucleotide non-coding RNA. The record is from RefSeq and is a predicted model, not a curated record. NCBI's taxonomy places the organism in Eukaryota, Viridiplantae, Streptophyta, Magnoliopsida, Brassicales, Brassicaceae.
AUCUCAGCAAUUAUCGAGUUACUAGAACACCGUCGAAUGAUGAUGAGGGAUAUAGAAGAACGUCGCGACGUCACGCACCUGCACAUGCACAUUGUCCGACACGAUUUGACAUGAUGGUGCGUGAUCUGCUUAGAAAGUUCAUUUGAAUGUAAUGUGUUAUGUUUUUGUUUGAGGCUUUGAAAAAUUAGAC